RNAcentral lists this long non-coding RNA (255 nucleotides) under Coffea arabica (coffee). RNAcentral's name for it is "long non-coding RNA (CARA_LNC007116)". Lineage: Eukaryota; Viridiplantae; Streptophyta; Magnoliopsida; Gentianales; Rubiaceae. The record is from RNAcentral.
UAAAUUAAAAAAACUUAUGACAAAAUAAAAGAAUGGGUUAAAGAAUGACAAAAUCCCCCAGAAUUCCAUCAUAUAAUAAUAUACAUGUUGCUUGUAUACUAAAGCACAUUUAACGUGGAAAUUAUAUUUAUUAAGGCACAGGUGCAGCAAUUAGAGUUUGUAAUUGAUCAAUUACCAAUAGUAAGAAAUUGCUUAGUAGCGGCAAGAGAGAAUGAAAAAAUGCAAUAAAAAUAAGAAAAAAAAAGAGAGAUCAAA